GGUGCUUUCACCCACUGGUGGCUGCCCACCCCCACCUAUGGGUGGGCUUCUGAACCAGCAGGGGCAUUUCUCACCGUGGUGUCAGGGAUUGGAUAUAAUUCAUCUUUAGACCAGAGAAAUGAAUACAGUAUUCAGUGCAGUGCCGUAAUAUGCCGUGUCAUUAUUAACAAAUAGCACUGUCCAGGCAUGUGGGGCGAAAUACAAAGAGGGAGAAAUGAACAGGCCCUUGCCUGCUGAUUGACUGACUUUCAUCAUCAGGAUAGACCACUCGCCCUGCUCUUGGAGAAGCAGAAGAAUGCUUUGCUUUUCUGAGGUUUAAGCUUCUAGAAACCGCAAGCCUUCAGAAAAGCACUACCCCGAAAUUAAACUGAUGUCUGAGGAGGAGAAUGUUCUGCCAGCUAGCUAAGACCAAGACGGCCCAGAGCACCCAGCGUCAGACGGAUGCCAACACACGCUGCCCCCCCGGGGGAGCCUGCCCAUUUCUCGUGGAGGCAGGAGCCAGAAAAAAGGGAGGAGUAGCUACAUCUCUUGAGGAGAAUCAGGCGGGUAUUUUGGAGAAGCAGGGCCUUCUCACAGAGGAAGCUCACAGGUGCCCCUCUUCUGACCAUCCCCCCCACCCGGGGAGAGACUGGGGGGCAAACCACGCGGGUGGAGUGGAGUCCAGGGAAAAUGAUGGAGAUAUUGCGCUGACACCAACCCCCUACUCAUGGACCCUUUGACUGGGGUGCAUGGGCUGGUCCCCAGCAGGCCUUUGAAAAAUGCUGAUGGGCAGACAGCCCUCCACUGAGUUUCCGUGCAAUCCCAGAAGUGCCUGCUCUGUACUCAGGACAGAGCCUAAGCCCCGACCUAUGACAGGAGGGAUUCACUUCCUGGCCUAAGGGACCUGUUGGCCUUCGGGAAGGUAAGCGAGGUAGGAAGCGGAGGCCCAGAGGAGUCAAGCCAGUAAUUUACAUGAUAGACACUCUGACAGUGGAAGGUCAUGGAGACCCUUCAGUGUGGAUCAUCUCUAAAUCCUUUUCUCUUAUAUCCUUUUAUACCAGGAAAUAAAGGUGUACAGUUCUCCCAACUUAA
Suricata suricatta (meerkat) is the source of this 1071-nucleotide long non-coding RNA. RefSeq lists it as uncharacterized. NCBI's taxonomy places the organism in Eukaryota, Metazoa, Chordata, Mammalia, Carnivora, Herpestidae. The record is from RefSeq and is a predicted model, not a curated record. The transcript has 5 exons.